GACGAACGCUGGCGGCGUGCCUAAUACAUGCAAGUAGAACGCUGAAGGAGGAGCUUGCUUCUCUGGAUGAGUUGCGAACGGGUGAGUAACGCGUAGGUAACCUGCCUGGUAGCGGGGGAUAACUAUUGGAAACGAUAGCUAAUACCGCAUAAGAGUAGAUGUCGCAUGACAUUUGCUUAAAAGGUGCAAUUGCAUCACUACCAGAUGGACCUGCGUUGUAUUAGCUAGUUGGUGAGGUAACGGCUCACCAAGGCAACGAUACAUAGCCGACCUGAGAGGGUGAGCGGCCAAACUGGGACUGAGACACGGCCCAGACGCCUACGGGAGGCAGCAGUAGGGAAUCUUCGGCAAGGGACGGAAGGCUGACCGAGCAACGCCGCGUGAGUGAAGAAGGUUGUCGGAUCGUAAAGCUCUGUUGUAAGAGAAGAACGAGUGUGAGAGUGGAAAGUUCACACUGUGACGGUAUCUUACCAGAAAGGGACGGCUAACUACGUG
This 495-nucleotide ribosomal RNA is filed under the name uncultured bacterium. RNAcentral's name for it is "partial 16S ribosomal RNA". It matches the Rfam family "Bacterial small subunit ribosomal RNA", at positions 28 to 507 of the family's 1533-position model. The record is from RNAcentral.